Long non-coding RNA from Haliotis rubra (blacklip abalone), 135 nucleotides. RefSeq lists it as uncharacterized. The transcript has 3 exons. The record is from RefSeq and is a predicted model, not a curated record. Lineage: Eukaryota; Metazoa; Mollusca; Gastropoda; Lepetellida; Haliotidae.
ACUGUUUUAGACUGUAAAAUUGUAAAAGAAUCAUUCCUAUGAUUUCAGUCUUUAAAACAUGUUCUGCUGAUUUGAAUUAGUGAAAACAAGUACAAUAUUGUCUUUGAUAUAGUGAAAACAUGUUUAGGAACGUUU